RNAcentral lists this long non-coding RNA (447 nucleotides) under Phoenix dactylifera (date palm). RNAcentral describes it as "long non-coding RNA (PDAC_LNC003214)". The record is from RNAcentral. Lineage: Eukaryota; Viridiplantae; Streptophyta; Magnoliopsida; Arecales; Arecaceae.
GAGGAGUCACCCUCAUCAAUGUCUUUUCUAUCUCUUCACAGAUGCAUGUAGUAUCCAGUCAGCCCAACAACAAAAGGGCAGCAACUAGGUUCAUGACCACUAAAUUGCUAGCUUUAUCGUGCCUAACUUUAAAUGUGAGUGGUGGCUAUCUUUUUUCUCAAUUUUUAUUUUUGUUUUUUUGUUGGUAGGUCUUGUUGCUUUGCUUUCCAUGUAAGAAGACAUUAAUGUGCACAUGAAGGGAAAGGAAGCUCGUAACAUCAGUCACACAAUCCAAACUUAAUGAAAUCUGAAACAUUUCAGGAAUUUUAUGGAGAAAAAUGUGAUUAGCAGUUAAGACCAGGGAAUUCUUGAUUCUGGAUGUCUAUUAGAUGGCUAGCUAGCUCCUAAAAAGAGAGGCUAGCUGGUUUUCCGGAUAAAAGUAGCUCUAGUGUGAUUGUUAAACCCAGC